Molecule: non-coding RNA, 124 nt
Organism: Triticum aestivum (bread wheat)
Lineage: Eukaryota; Viridiplantae; Streptophyta; Magnoliopsida; Poales; Poaceae
Source: Rfam
UAUAUACUAUCUUCGUCCGGAAUUACUUGUCGCAUAAAUGAAUAAAAAUGGAUGUAUCUAGAACUAAGAUAUGUCUAGAUACAUCCAUUUCUCGGACAAGUAUUUCCGAACGAGAGAGUACAUG